RNAcentral lists this ribosomal RNA (44 nucleotides) under Haplorchis taichui. Its description in RNAcentral is "partial 28S ribosomal RNA". The record is from RNAcentral. Lineage: Eukaryota; Metazoa; Platyhelminthes; Trematoda; Opisthorchiida; Heterophyidae.
CCUGACCUCGGCUCAGACGUGAUUACCCGCUGAACUUAAGCAUA